This 74-nucleotide transfer RNA is filed under the name Microcaldota archaeon. RNAcentral describes it as "tRNA-Phe". It matches the Rfam family "tRNA". From Rfam's summary of the family: Transfer RNA (tRNA) molecules are approximately 80 nucleotides in length. Lineage: Archaea; Nanobdellati; Microcaldota. The record is from RNAcentral.
GCCGCUGUAGCUCAGCUUGGGAGAGCGUCCGGCUGAAGACCGGUAUGUCGUGUGUUCAAAUCACACCAGCGGCA